GAUGAACGCUGGCGGCGUGCCUAAUACAUGCAAGUCGAGCGAACAGACGAGGAGCUUGCUCCUCUGACGUUAGCGGCGGACGGGUGAGUAACACGUGGAUAACCUACCUAUAAGACUGGGAUAACUUCGGGAAACCGGAGCUAAUACCGGAUAAUAUAUUGAACCGCAUGGUUCAAUAGUGAAAGACGGUUUUGCUGUCACUUAUAGAUGGAUCCGCGCCGCAUUAGCUAGUUGGUAAGGUAACGGCUUACCAAGGCAACGAUGCGUAGCCGACCUGAGAGGGUGAUCAGCCACACUGGAACUGAGACACGGUCCAGACUCCUACGGGAGGCAGCAGUAGGGAAUCUUCCGCAAUGGGCGAAAGCCUGACGGAGCAACGCCGCGUGAGUGAUGAAGGUCUUCGGAUCGUAAAACUCUGUUAUUAGGGAAGAACAAAUGUGUAAGUAACUAUGCACGUCUUGACGGUACCGAAUCAGAAAGCCACGGCUAACUACGUG
This 497-nucleotide ribosomal RNA is filed under the name uncultured bacterium. RNAcentral's name for it is "partial 16S ribosomal RNA". It matches the Rfam family "Bacterial small subunit ribosomal RNA", at positions 28 to 507 of the family's 1533-position model. The record is from RNAcentral.